This 410-nucleotide ribosomal RNA is filed under the name Verrucomicrobiota bacterium. RNAcentral describes it as "Verrucomicrobia bacterium partial 16S ribosomal RNA". It matches the Rfam family "Bacterial small subunit ribosomal RNA", at positions 355 to 776 of the family's 1533-position model. Lineage: Bacteria; Pseudomonadati; Verrucomicrobiota. The record is from RNAcentral.
UGGGGAAUCUUGCACAAUGGGCGAAAGCCUGAUGCAGCGACGCCGCGUGCGGGAUGAAGGCCUUCGGGUUGUAAACCGCUUUCAGCAGGGACGAGGCCGCAAGGUGACGGUACCUGCAGAAGAAGCCCCGGCUAACUACGUGCCAGCAGCCGCGGUAAUACGUAGGGGGCAAGCGUUAUCCGGAUUCAUUGGGCGUAAAGCGCGCGUAGGCGGUUUGUUAGGUCAGGUGUUAAGUCUGGGGGCUCAACCCCUAUCCGCUCCUGAUACCGGCAGGCUUGAGUCUGGUAGGGGAAGGCGGAAUUCCAAGUGUAGCGGUGAAAUGAGCAGAUAUUUGGAAGAACACCGGUGGCGAAGGCGGCCUUCUGGGCCACGACUGACGCUGAGGCGCGAAAGCUAGGGGAGCGAACAGG